This 1496-nucleotide long non-coding RNA is filed under the name Rattus norvegicus (Norway rat). RNAcentral's name for it is "long non-coding RNA NONRATT021005". The record is from RNAcentral. Lineage: Eukaryota; Metazoa; Chordata; Mammalia; Rodentia; Muridae.
UUGUGUGGACCACAUGAUUGGUACCACUGCUACCUGCCACGUGGGAGCGCUCUACCACCAGCCUCACACUCAGAAGACUAAGGCUUUCUGGUCUACCCUCACUUGAUGAAUGUAUAAGGGGCGUGUGUGAGUACACAUGUCACUCACUUAGGAUCAAUCACCAUGGAAGGGGAUGUUGUUCUUUAUUGGUGGAUACCCAAGAGGAGCUGGAAUCAGCUCUUCAUCAGGUCAGAGUUCUAAGAGGGCACUGGGGAAGUCCUGGGAAAGUACCUGCAGCAAUGAUAGCCCAUGUCUUCUCAAUUGAAUGCAAGAUAAGUUGUAAUAAAGAGGAAAGUCAAAAUGAUGAAGGCAAAAUGUCAACUUAAAGUUUGGAAGUUGGCCUGGGAUAAGCUGCCCCUUGGCAAAUGUUGAAGAUUGUUUGCUCUGACAUCCCUGUUUGGUCUUCCAUAUACUGUGUGAAGGCAUCGCAUGGCUUUGUAGCCUGGUCCAUGGCUUUUUGAAAGGAAGAUGGGUGGGUGGGGGGUUAUUCUUUGAGGAUAGACUAUUGGAAGCUAUUUGUGUUAUUUUGUUUUGUUUUCUACACUUGUUUAUGCUGUGAGCCAAACCUCUAUUUAAAUAGUUGAUACUCACUUUCAAUAUUUUAUUGGAUAUUAUUACAUAUGUCAUGACUAGUUACCAUGAUGUAAAUAUAAAGAAUUUUUUUUGUUUCUGUAGAUAGCAAACUUUUUUUAAAGAAAAAAAAAGGGGGAAGGGAAACAUUUUAUAGUUAUAUUUUAAUCACCAUUUUAUACAUUGUAGCUAUCUCCAAGCCCAGUAGUUGGGUGAUGAUUUAUUGUGGGGUUUGAGAGCCUCCAGACAUCUGCCUACUCUAGUUUGAUUUAUGAUCUGAUACAGUUAUUUACUGUUAAAUUAAGGAAUUGGAAAGAUGCAUCUUUUGCUAACUGAAUUAAUUUGAAGUCUUUCCCUGCCUGAUGAAAGCCCUUCUUAAACAAAUUGUUAGCCUUUCUCUUAAACUCUAUUGCUUGUAGUUCAUGGUUCAGUUCUGUGUUCACAGAAUUCUAAUCAUAGACUCAGAGACCUGUGCAUAGAUUUCUACCUUUUUACAUCUUGGAUUAUUUACAUUAAAACUCCUUUUGUCUCCCAUACAUGGGUCACAUAACCUUCCCUUCAAAAUCAACAUUUAUGGUAAUUCACAGCAUUUUUCCCUUAUAUAAAAAUGAAAUAAAAAAUCAAAUAUUUCAAGGCAGAUCUUUUAGUUCAUAGGACAAUGCAAAGAGGAUGGGAAGGAUUCAGGCCUCACCCAAACAAUUAAAACAUGUCUUGUAUAUUCCUGAGUUAAUACCAGGGCUUCAGCAUUUAGCAGAUCCUGAAUAAUUUUUCUUUCUUCAUGGUGCCCAUGUGUAUCUGUUUAUAAAUCUACUCUGAAGCAAGAACCCUUCUUCAGUGAAGGUAAAUAAAUGUAACCCUUGCCCUGCAAUAAAAAUGAUAGAUAAAAC